AUAUCAAUAAGCGGAGGAAAAGAAACCAACAGGGAUUGCCUCGGUAACGGCGAGUGAAGCGGCAACAGCUCAAAUUUGAAAUCUGGAGCCUUCGGCUUCCGAGUUGUAAUUUGAAGAGGAUGUUUCGGUGCGACCUGGGCCUAAGUUCCUUGGAACAGGACGUCAUGGAGGGUGAGAAUCCCGUACAUGGCUGCAGGUUUGCUUCUAUGUGAAACUCCUUCGAAGAGUCGAGUUGUUUGGGAAUGCAGCUCAAAAUGGGUGGUAAAUUUCAUCUAAAGCUAAAUAUUGGCGGGAGACCGAUAGCGCACAAGUAGAGUGAUCGAAAGAUGAAAAGCACUUUGAAAAGAGAGUUAAACAGCACGUGAAAUUGUUGAAAGGGAAGCGCUUGUGACCAGACUUGCGCCGGGCAGAUCAUCCGGUGUUCUCACCGGUGCACUCUGCCCGGCUCAGGCCAGCAUCGGUUCUCGUGGGGGGAUAAAGGUCCCGGGAACGUAGCUCCUCCGGGAGUGUUAUAGCCCGGGGCGUAAUGCCCUCGUGGGGACCGAGGUUCGCGCAUCUGCAAGGAUGCUGGCGUAAUGGUCAUCAGCGA
Molecule: ribosomal RNA, 589 nt
Filed under: uncultured fungus
Lineage: Eukaryota; Fungi
Description: eukaryotic LSU rRNA
Rfam family: Eukaryotic large subunit ribosomal RNA
Source: RNAcentral